This is a long non-coding RNA of Anopheles arabiensis, 3662 nucleotides long. RefSeq lists it as uncharacterized. The record is from RefSeq and is a predicted model, not a curated record. Lineage: Eukaryota; Metazoa; Arthropoda; Insecta; Diptera; Culicidae. The transcript has 3 exons.
GGAAACAGUUGCGGGCUGGGUUUUGUGUUUUCUUGUUUCGCCGUUGCUGGUCACCGCGUCGCAGCCAAAAGGGUUGCCCUUGGGCCGUUGCCUCGUGCCAUCAUGCCGUGGAUAAAGUGUUUAGUACGGGCGACGGGCGAGACAAAAUAGAGGCCCUUUUUUCAUUCGUUCGUUCGUACGUUCGUGCGCUACUACAUACAUCAAGGCCAUACCAUUUCGUGUGCAAUGCCUUAGGAACUGCAUAGACGAGCAGGUGCAAAUCCUCCCACCAAAGCACAAAUGGGUGGAAAAGGUGUGCUGUUUUCUAUGCAUCCUGAAUCUCUUUUUUCCACGAAAAUGCUGCUCGUUUAUUUUUAACGUAGAAGUAGAAGAAAGAAAAAAAGAGAACAACAGACUACAACAUCCCGUUUUCCCGCUGUUCCUACCUUCCAGUGGGUCGUCGCUGGGCGCAAAGAACGGCUCGUCGGUGAGCAGCAGAUUGGCCAGCGUUUGCCUCUCCUGCUGAUGCUCAUCGUUAUCCUGCAGGUGGUACGCCGACCGGUCAUCCUGUUGCUGACCGGAAGCAGCAGCAGCAGCAGCAGUGGCAACUGAACCGUGAAGUUGCCGCUGGCAGUCACCGGCAAAGGGCGAGCUGAACGAGCGCCGAACGACGGUCGUUUUCGAGCCGAUGGCGGCAUCCCCAUUCUCGGAAUGCUGCCGACCGGUCACCGAUACUGGCCAGCGGGGCAUCACUUCGAAGGGUCCGAGCAGAGUGGCGGGUGGCAGCGUUGGGUACGCCAGAGCGCCUGGUGCGUGUUGGGCGGGAGACGUACUCUCGGAUGCGCUCGGAGAUCGAAUCGAUUUUGGGAGCGACCCACACUACAACAACAGCCACACAAACACCACAACCACACUGAUUCACGGGAAUUCGUUAUCUAACCGGCCUGAAGGGGGCGUUAGAUAACAGACCAAUACUCUAUUAUCACACAGCGUUACAGAAUGAGGUGGCAAUUCGAUAGAGAGAAAGAGUGUAAGAGAAUUAAACACGAAGAGAGAGAGAGAGAGAGAGAGAGAGAGAGAGAGUAGUAAACUGCCAAAAGCAUGUGCUAUUUGUGUGUCACUCGCGGGCUCGUUCUCUUCGUAGGAACGGGGAUUUCAGAAUUGGGUCGUACAAACCGGGGCCACACAAGUCACACAAAAAACCGAGCAAACGCAAAGCAGCAGAAACGGUGUGUACGGAAAACGGUACGGAACUAGUAUUUCCAGGCCGUUCCAAAGAACCACUAUAGCAAGAAACCGUCCGGUCUGGUGUCUGGUCACUGUUAAUGGGUGUAUAGUUCCUGUGCGACUAUCGGAGCGACACGAGCUGCCACAAGCGACGAGCGGCACCAGUCGGGUUGACAGCUGUUUCAGAGAUCGUAGAUCUAUGCGAGCGCGACGAAGGGCGACGCAGUGAGACAAAUUGGUGGGAAGGGGGGAGUGCAGAGCGGCUAACGUUCAUAGAGCACGCGAUCGCUCUGCAAAGCUGCAAACGAUUGCGCGAUACGCGGUGUGGGGAAAAGCAAAGACGUGCGACAUCGCUAAUCAUACGCAGGCGGCAGCCAGCGAGUGCGCGGCCAUCUUCAGUGUGGAAGCCCUCCCCCUCCCCUCUCCCACCGGUGUGUGUGUGUGUGUGUUUGUAAGGGUAGCUAGUAACAGGGGGGGUUGAGCCACACAACUAUGAUAAAGAUGGGACCAGCGCACGACAUACCAGUCACCUGACGGUACACCGGGGCGGCCGUUGUUUUUGGUUUGGCCGCGUGUUCGCCCGUGCGUUUGUUUGUGUUUGUGUGUGUGUUUCUAAAAACACAAACACAUCCGACCACCACCGACCGCAUGUGCAGUGUCAAUGUUGCGGUUGUGCCAAUGUGAGGUGCUCUCCAUAUCGCGCGCGCUGGAAAGUUGGCCACUGGCAUACUACCCACACACACAUACACACACUAGCCGUUUAUCUUUCGCGACCGGUACCAAUUGUGUUGUGUGUGUGUGUGUGUGUGUGGUGGAGCUGUGAUGUGUAUUGGUUCUGUGCGUCUUACUACCUUGGUGGGGCCGGAUAGCCCUUGCUUACUGGGGUGGAAAGUGCGGUGUUGAGACAAAACAAGCCAUGCAAAAACCGCGCCUGUCAACGAUGAUCCGACGAUACUCGUGCCUUUCAGUGUGUCAGUUGUCCACUAACGUCGGACACAAUAGCAACAAAGAGAGUAAGACAGAGAGAAGCAGAGGGAGUUCGGCAAAUGGGUCAAGAUCAGCGCUCGCGCUUCCGCCGUUCCGCGGUGCUUGACAGAUAAUAAUCGAUCAAGUACGAUCAAAAUAUCAUUAGCCACCUCCCAUGGGGGUCGGCUUUUGCGUGGGAAGGCCGGGAAAUGAAGGCUUUAUGGGGUCAUUUCCUCCCAAUUUUGGAAGUCAAAUUUUACGCCACGUGGUUUUUAUGCGUUCGGUGCGUACUGCAAUUACGAUCGGAUUGGAACCUCAACCAAAAUUGUUUCGGUUGUAGCAUAUCUGCUAAACAGAACUUGUUAUAAACCACACUAUCAGCUAUAGACACAUUGUAACGUACUUACUACAUGGUCAGAAUCAGCUUUCAAAAGAAUAGUUUACAUUAAAAUGUUUUUAAAUCGGUCAUUGCUGCUAAAUUUUGAAUGUAACUAAUACAUGCAAUUUUUGACAACAUGCCCCAAUUUGUGUCAAAUUCAUAAAAUUUGCACUGUAUGUCAAUUAUUCUGUUUAUAAUUCUAAAAUAAUUCAAUUUAAGUUAAGUAAUCAAACGUUUCAUUUCUUAAUUUAAAAUAUAACAAUUGAAAAGACAAUUUUUGAAGUUGUUCAUGAAGUUGGCAUGUAUUUUUAGAUGUAACCAAUCUGUUGAGGAUUUAUUAAAUUAGCUUAUUUCACACCAAAUAAAAAAAGAAACAGCCAAUGUACAUGGUUUUUGUAAUGUUUUUGUAAUUUAAAGUUACAGUUCUCAUAUAUUUGCUCUAUACUUAGCGAAUUUAGCGGUUUCGGACACUCCUGAGACAGGCCAAGACCGCAAAGCGGUUGUAGCGCCGGAUAAGUAAGUAAGUAAGUAAGUACUUAGCGAAUUUAUCAUGAUUUCUACAGGGAUCAUAACUUGUUGAUUUACAGACAAACAUAGUUGUGUUAGAGUCAAAAAUAGUUGUUUCAAAAAUCAAAACUUGAUGCCUUAGAGCCAAUAUUUAGCGACAACAACUGUGAGAAUAAUAACUCUUUCCACCAUACUGUUCCAUGGUCGUGUUUGGUUGCUGGGCAUAUGCAUACGCGCUUCACAGCCAGGUGCUAAUUUGGUGUGGUGUAAGAGUGACCUUACACUCUUUAUGGCGCCUGAAACCCCCCUAUUCCCGUAAGUGGGUGAUGCUCUAGUUUGAAUGAAAGGCGCUUGCAACAAUUGUUUGAUUAAGUAAGGAAGAAAAUAAGCACAAAACAUAAUUGAAACGCUCAUUUCAACAUCACUUUUCGCAAAACAAGUAUGAACUUUGGCUUCAUUCUUUAACGCUUCAAACGAUGGCACGGUGCCAAAAAUUAACUUCAGCUUUUCUUUAUCCAGAAUUAUACCAACCUGCAAAAGAAUGACACACCGACUACACACCGGCUCUUCAUCCAGCUACCUGACAGCUGUCACCAUACGGAGG